Molecule: ribosomal RNA, 259 nt
Filed under: uncultured bacterium
Lineage: Bacteria
Description: partial 16S ribosomal RNA
Rfam family: Bacterial small subunit ribosomal RNA
Source: RNAcentral
CAGGUACANCGGGAAGCCAGGCGGCGACGCCGAGCGGAACCCGAAAACCUAGUCUCAGUUCGGAUCGGAGUCUGCAACCCGACUCCGUGAAGCUGGAUUCGCUAGUAAUCGCGCAUCAGCCAUGGCGCGGUGAAUACGUUCCCGGGCCUUGUACACACCGCCCGUCAAGCCAUGGAAGCCGGGGGUGCCUGAAGUGUGCAGCCGCAAGGAGCGCCCUAAGGUAAAACCGGUGACUGGGGCUAAGUCGUAACAAGGUAGC